CACUAUUGGAUGAGCCUGCGUAAGAUUAGCUAGUUGGUAGGGUAAAGGCCUACCAAGGCGACGAUCUUUAGCUGGUCUGAGAGGAUGAUCAGCCACACUGGAACUGAGACACGGUCCAGACUCCUACGGGAGGCAGCAGUGGGGAAUAUUGGACAAUGGGGGCAACCCUGAUCCAGCCAUGCCGCGUGUGUGAAGAAGGCCCUUGGGUUGUAAAGCUCUUUCGUCGGGGAAGAAAAUGACUGUACCCGAAUAAGAAGGUCCGGCUAACUUCGUGCCAGCAGCCGCGGUAAUACGAAGGGACCUAGCGUAGUUCGGAAUUACUGGGCUUAAAGAGUUCGUAGGUGGUUGAAAAAGUUAGUGGUGAAAUCCCAGAGCUUAACUCUGGAACUGCCAUUAAAACUUUUCAGCUAGAGUAUGAUAGAGGAAAGCAGAAUUUCUAGUGUAGAGGUGAAAUUCGUAGAUAUUAGAAAGAAUACCAAUUGCGAAGGCAGCUUUCUGGAUCAUUACUGACACUGAGGAACGAAAGCAUGGGUAGCGAAGAGGAUUAGAUACCCUCGUAGUCCAUGCCGUAAACGAUGUGUGUUAGACGUUGGAAAUUUAUUUUCAGUGUCGCAGGGAAACCGAUAAACACACCGCCUGGGGAGUACGACCGCAAGGUUAAAACUCAAAUGAAUUGACGGGGACCCGCACAAGUAGUGGAGCAUGUGGUUUAAUUCGAAGAUACGCGCAGAACCUUACCAACACUUGACAUGUUCGUCGCGACUCUAAGAGAUUAGAGUUUUCGGUUCGGCCGGACGAAACACAGGUGCUGCAUGGCUGUCGUCAGCUCGUGUCGUGAGAUGUUGGGUUAAGUCCCGCAACGAGCGCAACCCUCACUUUUAGUUGCCAUCAUUAAGUUGGGCACUCUGAAAGAACUGCCAGUGAUAAGCUGGAGGAAGGUGGGGAUGACGUCAAGUCCUCAUGGCCCUUACGUGUUGGGCUACACACGUGCUACAAUGGUAUCUACAACAGGAAGCAAGACUGCGAAGUUAAGCAAAUCCCUAAAAGAUACCUCAGUUCGGAUUGCACUCUGCAACUCGAGUGCAUGAAGCUGGAAUUACUAGUAAUCGUGGAUCAGCGUGCCACGGUGAAUGCGUUCCCGGGUCUUGUACACACCGCCCGUCACACCAUGGGAGUUGGUUCUACCUUAAGGCAAGGUUUCAAACCCUUGACCACGGUAUAGUCAGCGACUGGGGUGAAGUCGUAACAAGGUAACCGUA
RNAcentral lists this ribosomal RNA (1259 nucleotides) under uncultured bacterium. RNAcentral describes it as "partial 16S ribosomal RNA". It matches the Rfam family "Bacterial small subunit ribosomal RNA", at positions 216 to 1504 of the family's 1533-position model. The record is from RNAcentral.